Molecule: transfer RNA, 33 nt
Filed under: Callicebus nigrifrons (black-fronted titi)
Lineage: Eukaryota; Metazoa; Chordata; Mammalia; Primates; Pitheciidae
Description: partial tRNA-Lys
Source: RNAcentral
CGCUGUAAAGCUAAUAAGCAUUAACCUUUUAAG